This 92-nucleotide non-coding RNA is filed under the name uncultured eukaryote. The record is from RNAcentral.
AGAAAAAAAAAACGCACUAAAUGAUCGCAAGUAACUCAUUUGACUUUUCUUGUUUUUUCUUCUUCUUCACGUUCUUGCUUUUUCCUGUGCCU